GUAAGGAAUAUUGGACAAUGGGGGAAACCCUGAUCCAGCCAUGCCGCGUGAGUGAAGAAGGCCUUCGGGUUGUAAAGCUCUUUCAGAUGUGAAGAUGAUGACGGUAACAUCAGAAGAAGCUCCGGCUAACUUCGUGCCAGCAGCCGCGGUAAUACGAGGGAGCGAGCGUUGUUCGGAAUCACUGGGCGUAAAGAGUGCGUAGGCGGUUAUACAAGUCAGGAGUGAAAUCCCAGGGCUCAACCCUGGAAUUGCUUUUGAAACUGUAUAGCUAGAGUCCCGGAGGGGUUAAUGGAAUUCCGAGUGUAGAGGUGAAAUUCGCAGAUAUUCGGAGGAACACCAGUGGCGAAGGCGAUUAACUGGACGGGCACUGACGCUGAGGCACGAAAGCGUGGGGAUCAAACAGGAUUAGAUACCCUAGUAGUCC
Molecule: ribosomal RNA, 424 nt
Filed under: uncultured bacterium
Lineage: Bacteria
Description: bacterial SSU rRNA
Rfam family: Bacterial small subunit ribosomal RNA
Source: RNAcentral